Molecule: ribosomal RNA, 565 nt
Filed under: uncultured fungus
Lineage: Eukaryota; Fungi
Description: eukaryotic LSU rRNA
Rfam family: 5.8S ribosomal RNA (bases 186-338)
Source: RNAcentral
UCCGUAGGUGAACCUGCGGAAGGAUCAUUAAUGAUUGAACGUCUGUCGAGCUUGCUCACAGACUUAUCAUAUCCAUAACACCUGUGCACUUGUCGGAUGGCUUAGUGAAGACCGCAAGGUUGGAUCUAUCCGUCUACUUUACAUAACAAUCCUGUAACAAAUGUAGUCUUAUUAUAACAUAAUAAAACUUUCAACAACGGAUCUCUUGGCUCUCGCAUCGAUGAAGAACGCAGCGAAAUGCGAUACGUAAUGUGAAUUGCAAAUUCAGUGAAUCAUCGAGUCUUUGAACGCACAUUGCGCCCCCUGGUAUUCCGGGGGGCAUGCCUGCCCGAGCGUCAUUUCUGCCCUCAAGCACGGCUUGUGUGUUGGGCCCCGUCCUCCGAUCCCGGGGGACGGGCCCGAAAGGCAGCGGCGGCACCGCGUCCGGUCCUCGAGCGUAUGGGGCUUUGUCACCCGCUCUGUAGGCCCGGCCGGCGCUUGCCGAUCAACCCAAAUUUUUAUCCAGGUUGACCUCGGAUCAGGUAGGGAUACCCGCUGAACUUAAGCAUAUCAAUAAGCGGAGGAA